Small RNA from Synechococcus sp. SynAce01, 71 nucleotides. It matches the Rfam family "Cyano-1 RNA". The record is from Rfam. Lineage: Bacteria; Bacillati; Cyanobacteriota; Cyanophyceae; Synechococcales; Synechococcaceae.
ACUCGUGUGAGGGGUGCGGAACCCACUGUUGGGGUCGAAACAAGGACAGACUCCCAAGAACGUUCCACCUC